GAUGAACGCUGGCGGCGUGCCUAAUACAUGCAAGUCGAGCGAACAGAUAAGGAGCUUGCUCCUUUGACGUUAGCGGCGGACGGGUGAGUAACACGUGGGUAACCUACCUAUAAGACUGGGAUAACUUCGGGAAACCGGAGCUAAUACCGGAUAAUAUUUCGAACCGCAUGGUUCGAUAGUGAAAGAUGUUUUUGCUAUCACUUAUAGAUGGACCCGCGCCGUAUUAGCUAGUUGGUAAGGUAACGGCUUACCAAGGCGACGAUACGUAGCCGACCUGAGAGGGUGAUCGCCCACCCUGGAACUGAGACGCGGUCCAGACUCCUACGGGAGGCAGCAGUAGGGAAUCUGCCGCAAUGGGCGAAAGCCUGACGGAGCAACGCCGCGUGGGUGAUGAAGGUCUUCGGAUCGUAAAACUCUGUUAUUAGGGAAGAACAUACGUGUAAGUAACUGUGCACGUCUUGACGGUACCUGAUCAGAAAGCCACGGCUAACUACGUG
Molecule: ribosomal RNA, 497 nt
Filed under: uncultured bacterium
Lineage: Bacteria
Description: partial 16S ribosomal RNA
Rfam family: Bacterial small subunit ribosomal RNA
Source: RNAcentral